AGCGUCUGCUUGUGCAUCUCAAGGAUGUGCUUCCACAUAGCAGUAUGUUCCUGAGAUGGACAAGGAGGCACU
Molecule: microRNA precursor, 72 nt
Organism: Chlorocebus sabaeus (green monkey)
Lineage: Eukaryota; Metazoa; Chordata; Mammalia; Primates; Cercopithecidae
Source: Ensembl